RNAcentral lists this ribosomal RNA (1443 nucleotides) under uncultured organism. RNAcentral describes it as "SSU rRNA". It matches the Rfam family "Bacterial small subunit ribosomal RNA". The record is from RNAcentral.
AUCUACAGGCUUAACACAUGCAAGUCGAGGGGCAGCAUGGUCUUAGCUUGCUAAGGCCGAUGGCGACCGGCGCACGGGUGAGUAACACGUAUCCAACCUGCCGUCUACUCUUGGACAGCCUUCUGAAAGGAAGAUUAAUACAAGAUGGCAUCAUGAGUCCGCAUGUUCACAUGAUUAAAGGUAUUCCGGUAGACGAUGGGGAUGCGUUCCAUUAGAUAGUAGGCGGGGUAACGGCCCACCUAGUCUUCGAUGGAUAGGGGUUCUGAGAGGAAGGUCCCCCACAUUGGAACUGAGACACGGUCCAAACUCCUACGGGAGGCAGCAGUGAGGAAUAUUGGUCAAUGGGCGAGAGCCUGAACCAGCCAAGUAGCGUGAAGGAUGACUGCCCUAUGGGUUGUAAACUUCUUUUAUAAAGGAAUAAAGUCGGGUAUGCAUACCCGUUUGCAUGUACUUUAUGAAUAAGGAUCGGCUAACUCCGUGCCAGCAGCCGCGGUAAUACGGAGGAUCCGAGCGUUAUCCGGAUUUAUUGGGUUUAAAGGGAGCGUAGAUGGAUGUUUAAGUCAGUUGUGAAAGUUCGCGGCUCAACCGUAAAAUUGCAGUUGAUACUGGAUAUCUUGAGUGCAGUUGAGGCAGGCGGAAUUCGUGGUGUAGCGGUGAAAUGCUUAGAUAUCACGAAGAACUCCGAUUGCGAAGGCAGCCUGCUAAGCUGCAACUGACAUUGAGGCUCGAAAGUGUGGGUAUCAAACAGGAUUAGAUACCCUGGUAGUCCACACGGUAAACGAUGAAUACUCGCUGUUUGCGAUAUACAGCAAGCGGCCAAGCGAAAGCGUUAAGUAUUCCACCUGGGGAGUACGCCGGCAACGGUGAAACUCAAAGGAAUUGACGGGGGCCCGCACAAGCGGAGGAACAUGUGGUUUAAUUCGAUGAUACGCGAGGAACCUUACCCGGGCUUAAAUUGCAGAUGAAUUACGGUGAAAGCCGUAAGCCGCAAGGCAUCUGUGAAGGUGCUGCAUGGUUGUCGUCAGCUCGUGCCGUGAGGUGUCGGCUUAAGUGCCAUAACGAGCGCAACCCUUGUUGUCAGUUACUAACAGGUUCCGCUGAGGACUCUGACAAGACUGCCAUCGUAAGAUGUGAGGAAGGUGGGGAUGACGUCAAAUCAGCACAGCCCUUACGUCCGGGGCUACACACGUGUUACAAUGGGGGGGUACAGAGGGCCGCUACCACGCGAGUGGAUGCCAAUCCCAAAAACCUCUCUCAGUUCGGACUGGAGUCUGCAACCCGACUCCACGAAGCUGGAUUCGCUAGUAAUCGCGCAUCAGCCACGGCGCGGUGAAUACGUUCCCGGGCCUUGUACACACCGCCCGUCAAGCCAUGGGAGCCGGGGGUACCUGAAGUGCGUAACCGCGAGGAGCGCCCUAGGGUAAAACUGGUGACUGGGGCUAA